ACUUCAGCAGUCAUCACAAGCUGCAAAGCAAGUAGUAGCAGACAGACGAAAAUGGCGAUUUUGCCAACCUCGUUGCACCAAACAAGAAGUGAUUUUCUCCAAAGCAAUCCCUAUUCCUUCAGCAUGCCUUCGAAGCCAACACGCCGCUUCGCCCGCCAUCCGUUUGUUAUUACCUUUUCUAACAAACCCAGGAGCGAAAUUGUUGGUAAUGACAAGAAAAGGGAGUUCCUUGAGAAGUACGGGCUUAAUCCAGAUGAGUUCUUACCUAAACAAUCUCGAAAGACGAAGAGGAGAGGGGAGCAAGGGAAUUCAGAGAAGAAAAACAAUACACCGGUGCAGGAGCCGAAGCCACUACGAGAGACUCACAAAUUGCUUCAGGUACUCGGGGGAACAGCUCGGAGGAAAAAAUUGCUCUCACCAAAGAGUAUGGAUGUGCGGCCUAUGAUGGAAGUUGUAAAGGGAGCAGCUUUUUCGAUUUUACAGGCAGCGGGUGGCUCGCCUCAGUCUCUGAGGCCCGGGCGCUGGUUAGACUUGUACAGUGGCACGGGAUCUGUUGGCAUUGAAGCUAUCAGCAGAGGAUGCUCUGAGGCCCACUUUGUGGAGAUGGAUCCUUGGGUUAUCUCAGAUGUACUGCAGCCUAACUUAGAAUCAACUGGAUUUCUCGAGGCUUCAGUUAUACAUACUGCCCGUGUUGAAACAUUCUUGGAAAAUGCACAGCGAUAUCUAGGGAAAGAAGCGGAAUUUGAUUAUAUAAGUGUUACUCCUCCAUACAUGCUUGUUGAUUACGCAGUUCUGAUGGACCAGAUUUCUAAUUCCUCAGUUGUCGGGGAGAAUACAUUUGUUGUAGUUGAGUAUCCAUUGAGAACUGACAUGCUAGAUUCAUGUGCGAGCUUAGUAAAGAUAGCUGAUCGGCGGUUUGGCCGGACACAUUUAGCAAUAUACGGACCACAGUGGGCACAAAAGAAGAGUAAAUCAGAGACGUGACUGUCAUAAUUGCACAAACGGUCUGAGAUGGAAACGGUUGCUUGGUUAGAAAUUUGUAUGUUUUCUGAUGAGUUCGAUCACGUUGCACCUGAUUCGUCAACUUGCAAUGCAAGUGCAGCGUAUGCUCCCAGAUCAAAUAUGGCCGAAAUUCAGCUGUUACACUUCAUGGGAUGAUGUUACGUACGUUGGCACUAUCUAUGCUCGUCUUGUAAAUUGAGUUUUUACAAGUCGACAAGAUGUUUUGAGCCAACUAUAUGAGUUGCAUAGAGCAAAGCUUCGUGGUUUUUGCCUUGAAUUCUGACGAUUCUUUUUGGUGUUGAAACUGUGAUAUUUUGUUGAGACGGUACACUAUUCUUGGAUGCUCAAGUCAUGAUCCGAGGUUCCAGAGCUUAGGACAAAUGUUGUAAAGCAGGAGUAGAAAAGAGGGACAUCUAUUUUGUUUGAACGCGGAUCUGGACCCAUAUUUCUGUUAAAACUUCGUGCCAUCCUUAACCCCCCUGGCUACUUUUUGUUGUUAGUAACUGUAUGAUACUUGAGUGUGAUCACAGGGACUCCUUAACUCCAAGUGAACAAAAGAAAGCAGGUUUAUGAUGCCUGAAGAUGUGUGGAAUCUGCAACCACUACAGUCGAAAGGUGCAUAUUCUUGGUCUCAUAUUUCAUGGUUUCAUGCUUGACUCGAUUCUCUCUUUUGCCUCUCAUCUUUGUAAAAGGAUAUACUUGAAUUGGUACAGCACCCUAAUCUGUUAAUACAUGAUGAAUAAUACGGGGAUAAAUUCGAUGAAUAUGUUUGCUCGAAACACCGUUCAUCUGAACUUGCUUUUGGAUCUUUCAUUUGAAUGAGAAUCAACACUUGAAGUUUUAGAUGUUGCUUUUAAGGACCACACAGAGUGUAGGUGCCGUUUGCUUGACAGUUACCACUUUUAGUUAAAAAGGAAAAGAAAAUAUUUGUUGUAAGAAAAGAAAAGCAAAUUUGUUUAUUGGAUGUGAGUGACUAUUCACAUCUUAAUUCAGUAAGUUGCAUCAUAUUGCUGUAAUGAGUAUCUCUGCCUGUUCCAUUAUUCAUGCCACAUUUUACACAAACUUUAAAUAUGUAUUCCUAAAAAAUUACAUAAUAUUUUAACUUCUUAAAUAUUGUGUCCGAAGAAAUAUGUCAUAAAUAAUGAGACGAAAGAAGUACUAAUAUUUAUUCAAAAAUCAAUCCAUAUCUAAAAUUUGAUGAUCCUUGAUUCCAAAAUCUUUGCUCCAAACAAUGUUUCAAAUUGCUUUUGGAUCUUUUGAAUCAAAAGGAAAGAUUGAAGCUGUAGAUUUUGCUUUUUAGGACCACAAAGAGAGCGAACCCUUGUUUUUGGGCAUGCAUAUAUGAAUAGUGUGAUGCAAUCGAGAUGGAGAUAAAGUUACUCCAUUUGCGUUAGGAUUACUGCAUAAAGUUAGAAAAUGCGUGAUUAAAUUGGAAUCGUUGGUUCGGUUUGGAAUUGGGCCGGUGUUACUAGUUUUUGAACCAUAAUCAGCUAUGAUGGGCUAAAUCAAAACCGGCAUAUCGAGUUUACCGGUGUGGUUUCAGCUACACAAUUAUUGAACCGGAAAUCGGUGUUAAUCAAGUCGUGAACGCCAACCUCUAACAUUGCAUACGCUAGCCCAUCGUGGUGCCUAGAAAUUACAAACUUCUUCGUUAUAAUUUGUUUAGUUCUCCUUGUUAGUUCUUACACAUGGAUUCAGUUCUCGUUUUUGGGUAGAUCCUCAACCGUUUAAAUAGGGUUUCCAGUGUGACUAACGGAUCUUCAUGACAAAUUCUAUGAUGUCUCGUGGCGAAGAUUGAACUCUUGCAUUUCUCCUAUUUAGAAGUUUAUUUAUUUGCACUCCGUACUACUUAAAAUCGAAACCAGCGGGAAGCUUGCCGGGCUGGUGACAAAGCCCUCUUAUUUUCGAAAUUGAAGGCUUGUACUAAAAGGUGUAGACGGACACAAAAUAACGGUAUGCAUAAAUAUUUUGUUGUAUAAAAACAUUAUGAAUGUGACAUAUUUCUACCUGCAUUUAUUCGCCUAAGAUUGUAACAUGGAAGGAGACAGUGUGACAGGAAGGAAUAACAUAGAAAAAGCUGGUUCAAAUUUCAAUUCAAACUUCUGUUUCACGACUCGAUUUGUAUUCACCUCUGCAUGUGAGUUCUUCAUCAUUUUAGUUAAUAAAAUACUUACAUAUCUGUUGUACUA
This is an RNA transcript of Salvia splendens (bonfire salvia), 3191 nucleotides long. It is a transcript of the gene named putative rRNA methyltransferase YlbH, with no coding region annotated. The transcript is spliced from 10 exons. NCBI's taxonomy places the organism in Eukaryota, Viridiplantae, Streptophyta, Magnoliopsida, Lamiales, Lamiaceae. The record is from RefSeq and is a predicted model, not a curated record.